RNAcentral lists this ribosomal RNA (250 nucleotides) under uncultured bacterium. RNAcentral's name for it is "partial 16S ribosomal RNA". It matches the Rfam family "Bacterial small subunit ribosomal RNA", at positions 71 to 339 of the family's 1533-position model. The record is from RNAcentral.
AAACUACCUUCGGGUAGCGGAAAGUGGCAAACGGGUGAGUAACACGUGGGAACGUACCUUUUGGUUCGGGACAACAGUUGGAAACGACUGCUAAUACCGGAUGUGCUCUACGGAGGAAAGAUUUAUCGCCAAAAGAUCGGCCCGCGCUAGAUUAGCUAGUUGGUAAGGUAAUGGCUUACCAAGGCUACGAUCUAUAGCAGGUUUGAGAGGAUGAUCUGCCACACUGGGACUGAGAUACGGCCCAGACUCC